CCCAGGUCCCGGGGGGCGUCAGUCCAUCAAUCCCGCCAGGGCCGAAAGGCAGCAACGGUACGUGUGACGGUCGUCGCUCCGUCAGGCCUGGGGCA
Molecule: signal recognition particle RNA, 95 nt
Filed under: Gemmatimonadota bacterium
Lineage: Bacteria; Pseudomonadati; Gemmatimonadota
Description: signal recognition particle sRNA small type
Rfam family: Bacterial small signal recognition particle RNA
About the family: The signal recognition particle (SRP) is a universally conserved ribonucleoprotein involved in the co-translational targeting of proteins to membranes. Archaeal SRP consists of a 7S RNA and homologues of the eukaryotic SRP19 and SRP54 proteins. In most bacteria, the SRP consists of a 4.5S RNA and the Ffh protein (a homologue of the eukaryotic SRP54 protein).
Source: RNAcentral